CCAACUCCGGCGAGAAAUUGCCGGAGCUGCGCUGCCCCGUUCGCCGAGCCGCCACCGCCUUCGUGAUCCCCGCGACGCCGUGAACCUCCCCCAAGCCUUCUUCUUCGUCCCCUAGCUUCGAUUCGUCGAUUCCGUUCAUCUCCAGUGAGAUUUGGGGUAUGGUUUGGUUCAUCUCCAUUCUCUUCGAGUAGCCCGGUUCUUGCGUUGAUUGUUAGCAAACCUCUGAUCAUUAUGUGCUCUAGAUUUCACCAUACUGUAGAGUGUAUGUUCCUCUAUAAUUUCUCUGUAGACAGUAGCCGUAGAUGGUUCAUCUCGUGCUUUGCAUCGUCGUCGCAAAACGGUAUUCUAAGCAGCCUCUCUGCCGUAUCUCUGCCGCGGCAGAAGGUUGCAGCACCAUUCUUAGUGGGUAGCCUUAUUCGCAGUAGUUCUUCUUGUUGUCCGUAGCAUCAUUUUAGUUGUUUAUUUCUGCAGAUUGAACUUUAGGAACACCCAUUCACAGCCAUUUCCUAGUUGGACCAUUUCAACUUCACCUUCACUAGCAGCACGACGGUAGAAGUUCAUAUCCUGUACUGUCCUGUUUUAGAGUAGCCACAUUCAUCUGUUCAUAGCUACUGCCUCAUAUCUCCAUAGUUAGUGAAACCAGUGCCAUUUGGAAGAGUAGAUCAUAUUCUUGGAUUCCUUUGUUUAGUUCUCUGUCAUUGGAAUAGUUUAGCAUGAGUAGCUUUUCAGUAGAAGUUAGUAUUAUUUGUCUGUCAGAAUCUGACUAGCCACCUUUGCAAGCCAGUAACUUUUGACCUGUUUAUCCAAUUGACCUGAAACCUGUUGCAUUAGUUAGCACAACCUUAGAACUAUACCGUCGCGUACAUUUCGUGCCAUGUUCUGUAAUUUAGCACCUUUUGCCUGUCAACCCUAGUUGCAAUCUGUUAACAGAAGGAGAUUACUGAAUCUUCAGACUUAGCCACACUAGCCUUAACCUUAGGCUUUAGAACUUGAAUUGUUAAUACUAUGGUAUUACUUAGAUGACGUUUAGGUUCUGUUUUUGUAUGCUUGUGAUACAUCUUUUAUCCGAAGUUCAUUUGGAGUUAUAUUUGGAUUUUGAGAGAUGUUUGGAACUAUGCAUUUAUUGUUGUUUCGUUCUUUGCGUUAGAUUAUUCGGAUUGCGAUUGCGACGAGUGCCAGGGAGUUGACGACCGCAACAACUUUUCUGAACCAGGCAAGUUACACUUAUUGACCAUGUAGUACCUAUAUUUUUGCUUAUGCUAUUUUGUUUACAACAUCAUAGGGAUGCAUGUUAGAGUUAUUUCUGUAUGAAGUAUUUAUCAAAUGCGUUUUCAACAUGUUUAGUUAUUCCUAGUAGAUUGCUUAUAGGAUUUUAUUGCCAUGCCACCAAAUACCAUAGGUUAUGUAUUUACGAUUUUCCAAAGCAUGCUAUACUAUUAUAACGGGACGGGACCCAAACUCUAUUGAAAGUAUUAAGUGCUCUUUAUGAGCGAGUAUGUUUUUGGAAAAAUGUUUUCGAAAUAAAACCAAAAUGUUUUAUCUGGAUGGAGUGGUAUGAUGGAGGCCAGUUGGCUGUCGGCAAGUGUUGUAGCCCCGUAACGGGUACACACUCAGGAGAAGGUGGGGACCGCUGUCCAGAAAUCCAAGAGUUCAAACCUUCUCAUGUACAAGGCUUCUUGUGCAACCACUUGCUAUUAUGGGCUCUGGCUUGGUCGACUAACUAGCGGGAAACCCUUACCUGGGUAUCGCCAUCCGGAGAGGAGCCAAUGUGCUCAUAUGGGGCGGGCGGUGCCAGAAUUAGGUAUUAGGGGGCUUCUAGUGAAAGACUUUGUCACAAUCUUUACCUGUUGCGCACGCUUGUCGUCAGGCAACACUAUGGACUGAUUGUGUCAAGUGGGUAAAGUGUACAAACCUCUCGAGAGUGUCAAUCUAAUCGAUUAGCCAUGCCCCUGGUUACGGGCGACUUUGAGUCAUUAAGUCUGGAGAAGUGGAGAUGUUCAAGUUUUGUUUCUAAAAAACCCCAAAACUGUUUUGACUCGAUGGAAGGUUCCACGGAAUGAGUCAGGGAAAAGGGAUGCUAUGUGUCAGUUGACCCAGAGUGCAUAGCUAGCUCGUGGAGUGAACAUCCACAGAAUGACCAUACUAUUGAUCAAACCCUGUUUUAUCAAAACUCCAAGAUAGAGAUUUUCAAAGGAAAGUACUAUGAAUAUUUCGAAACCCCAAAAGCAGCAUUUUGCAAAAACAACCCUAGUAGCCAAACUAGGAAAUCCUUCAUCAUUUCAAUGCAUUUCUCCUAACCAGUCAAGUGUGACUUGUAAGUACAUUCAAUGUACUGACCUGCACCUAUCAUGUGCAGAGAGUGACGCAUAAGAAGAAGACGCAGGGUCGCGAGUCUACACUGAACUUGCCUG
RNAcentral lists this long non-coding RNA (2411 nucleotides) under Brachypodium distachyon (stiff brome). RNAcentral describes it as "long non-coding RNA (BDIS_LNC005579)". The record is from RNAcentral. Lineage: Eukaryota; Viridiplantae; Streptophyta; Magnoliopsida; Poales; Poaceae.